This 496-nucleotide ribosomal RNA is filed under the name uncultured bacterium. RNAcentral describes it as "partial 16S ribosomal RNA". It matches the Rfam family "Bacterial small subunit ribosomal RNA", at positions 28 to 506 of the family's 1533-position model. The record is from RNAcentral.
GAUGAACGCUGGCGGCGUGCCUAAUACAUGCAAGUCGAGCGAACAGACGAGGAGCUUGCUCCUCUGACGUUAGCGGCGGACGGGUGAGUAACACGUGGAUAACCUACCUAUAAGACUGGGAUAACUUCGGGAAACCGGAGCUAAUACCGGAUAAUAUAUUGAACCGCAUGGUUCAAUAGUGAAAGACGGUUUUGCUGUCACUUAUAGAUGGAUCCGCGCCGCAUUAGCUAGUUGGUAAGGUAACGGCUUACCAAGGCAACGAUGCGUAGCCGACCUGAGAGGGUGAUCGGCCACACUGGAACUGAGACACGGUCCAGACCCCAAGGGGAGGCAGCAGUAGGGAAUUUUCCGAAAGGGGAGAAAGCCUGAGGGGGCAACGCCGGGGGGGGGAAGAAGGUUUUCGGAUCGUAAAACUUUGUUAUUAGGGAAAAAAAAAUGGGAAAGUAACUAUGCACGUCUUGACGGUACCAAAUCAGAAAGCCACGGCUAACUACGU